UCCCUACGGGGGGCUGCAGUGAGGAAUAUUGCGCAAUGGGCGAAAGCCUGACGCAGCGACGCCGCGUGUGGGAUGAAGGAGCUUUGCUUCGUAAACCACUGUCGGACGGGAAGAAAAAGUUCCUACGGGGGCUUGGGACAGUACCGUCAGAGGAAGCACCGGCUAACUACGUGCCAGCAGCCGCGGUAAUACGUAGGGUGCGAGCGUUGUCCGGAAUUACUGGGUGUAAAGGGUGCGUAGGCGGGCAUGUGCGUCGGAGGUUAAAUACAACGGCUUAACCGUUGAACUGCCUUCGAAACGGCAUGUCUUGAAUGUGGGAGAGGAUGAUGGAAUUCCUGGUGUGGCGGUGAAAUGCGUAGAUAUCAGGAGGAACACCGGUGGCGAAGGCGGUCAUCUGGCCCACUAUUGACGCUGAGGCACGAAAGCGUGGGGAGCAAACAGGAUUAGAUACCCGGGUAGUCA
This 462-nucleotide ribosomal RNA is filed under the name uncultured bacterium. RNAcentral describes it as "bacterial SSU rRNA". It matches the Rfam family "Bacterial small subunit ribosomal RNA", at positions 335 to 796 of the family's 1533-position model. The record is from RNAcentral.